UUCCGGUUGAUCCUGCCGGACCCGACUGCUAUCAGAGUGGGACUAAGCCAUGCGAGUCAACAUAGCAAUAUGUGGCAUACGGCUCAGUAACACGUAGUCAACAUGCCCAGGGGACGUGGAUAACCUCGGGAAACUGAGGAUAAACCGCGAUAGGUCAUCACUUCUGGAAUGGGUAAUGACUUAAAUCUAUAUGGCCCCUGGAUUGGACUGCGGCCGAUCAGGCUGUUGGUGAGGUAAUGGCCCACCAAACCUGUAACCGGUACGGGCUCUGAGAGGGGGAGCCCGGAGAUGGGCACUGAGACAAGGGCCCAGGCCCUAUGGGGCGCAGCAGGCGCGAAACCUCUGCAAUAGGCGAAAGCUUGACAGGGUUACUCUGAGUGAUUUCCGUUAAGGAGAUCUUUUGGCACCUCUAAAAAUGGUGCAGAAUAAGGGGUGGGCAAGUCUGGUGUCAGCCGCCGCGGUAAUACCAGCACCCCGAGUGGUCGGGACGUUUAUUGGGCCUAAAGCAUCCGUAGCCGGUUCUACAAGUCUUCCGUUAAAUCCACCUGCUUAACAGAUGGGCUGCGGAAGAUACUAUAGAGCUAGGGGGCGGGAGAGGCAAGCGGUACUCGAUGGGUAGGGGUAAAAUCCGUUGAUCCAUUGAAGACCACCAGUGGCGAAGGCGGCUUGCCAGAACGCGCUCGACGGUGAGGGAUGAAAGCUGGGGGAGCAAACCGGAUUAGAUACCCGGGUAGUCCCAG
RNAcentral lists this ribosomal RNA (740 nucleotides) under uncultured archaeon. Its description in RNAcentral is "bacterial SSU rRNA". It matches the Rfam family "Archaeal small subunit ribosomal RNA", at positions 1 to 750 of the family's 1478-position model. The record is from RNAcentral.